GAAGGGAACCCGGGGAACUGAAACAUCUAAGUACCCGGAGGAAAAGAAAGAAAACUCGAUUCCGUAAGUAGCGGCGAGCGAACGCGGAGGAGCCUAAACCGGAAUGCGUGCAUUCCGGGGUUACGGACUGCAUUUAAGAUUCUUUGAAGCUAACAGAACGGUUUUGGGAAAGCCGGCCGCAGAGGGUGAAAGCCCCGUACGUGAAAGCUGAUGAGACUGAGCAGGAUCCAGAGUACCACGAGACACGUGGAACCUUGUGGGAAAUCAGGGGGACCACCCCCUAAGGCUAAAUACUACUUAGUGACCGAUAGCGCAUAGUACUGUGAAGGAAAGGUGAAAAGGACCCCGGGAGGGGAGUGAAAGAGAACCUGAAACCCUGUGUCUACAAGCUGUGGAAGUGCUUUAUAUGCACGACCGCGUACUUUUUGUAGAACGGUCCGGCGAGUUACGCUUACUGGCAAGGUUAAGCACUUCAGGUGUGGAGCCGUAGGGAAACCAAGUCUUAAGAGGGCCUUAAGUCAGUAGGAGUAGACCCGAAACCGGGUGAUCUAUCCAUGUCCAGGUUGAAGCUGCCGUAAGAGGUAGUGGAGGACCGAACCCACAUCCGUUGAAAAGGGUGGGGAUGAGGUGUGGAUAGGGGAGAAAUUCCAAUCGAACCCGGAGAUAGCUGGUUCUCCUCGAAAUAGCUUUAGGGCUAGCCUCGAUACAGAUUUGCGGAGGUAGAGCACUGAAUUUCCUAGGGGGCGUCAAAGCCUACCGAAGAAUAUCAAACUCCGAAUGCCGCGUAAUCGAUUAUCGGGAGUCAGACUGCACGAGAUAAGUUGGGCGGUCAAAAGGGAAAGAGCCCAGACCUUCAGUUAAGGUCCCCAAGUGCGCGUUAAGUGGAAAAGGAUGUGGGAUUUCGAAGACAACCAGGAUGUUGGCUCAGAAGCAGCCAUCCAUUCAAAGAGUGCGUAAUAGCUCACUGGUCGAGAGGUCCUGCGCCGAAAAUGUCCGGGGCUGAAACGCGCCACCGAAACUAAGGAACCGAAAGGUUGGUAGAGGAGCAUUGCAUGCGGGAAGAAGCAGUACCGUAAGGAGCUGUGGACUGCAUGGAAGAGAGAAUGCCGGAAUGAGUAGCGAGAAUAAGGUGAGAAUCCUUAUGGCCGAAUAUCCAAGGUUUCCAGAGUAAAGCUGAUCUGCUCUGGGUAAGUCGGGGCCUAAGGCGAGGACGAGAGUCGUAGCCGAUGGACAACAGGUGGAGAUUCCUGUACUGCGGUAUGACAGAACUGUGGGGACACGUAAGGAAAGCGGAAGCCGGGAAUGGAAAGCCCGGUGCAAGCGGGGUACCAGCCACUCUGGCAAAUCCGGGUGGCAAUGGGAAGCCGUGAUGCGGAGUGAAAUAAAGUAACGAAGUCCGUGAGCCAUGCGUCAAGAAAAGCCGCUAUCGUUUAUACCGUACCCGUACCGUAAACCGACACAGGUGGAUGAGGAGAGAAUCCUAAGGCCGGCGGAAGAAGCAUUGUCAAGGAACUCGGCAAAAUGGCCCCGUAACUUAGGGAUAAGGGGUGCCUGGGAAACCAGGCCGCAGAGAAUAGGCUCAAGCAACUGUUUAGCAAAAACACAGGUCUAUGCGAAACCGAAAGGUGAGGUAUAUGGGCUGACGCCUGCCCGGUGCUGGAAGGUUAAGAGGAGAGGUUAGCGCAAGCGAAGCUUUGAAUUUAAGCCCCAGUAAACGGCGGCCGUAACUAUAACGGUCCUAAGGUAGCGAAAUUCCUUGUCGGGUAAGUUCCGACCCGCACGAAAGGCGUAAUGAUUUG
RNAcentral lists this ribosomal RNA (1799 nucleotides) under human gut metagenome. Its description in RNAcentral is "bacterial LSU rRNA". It matches the Rfam family "Bacterial large subunit ribosomal RNA", at positions 176 to 2011 of the family's 2925-position model. The record is from RNAcentral.